Molecule: ribosomal RNA, 484 nt
Filed under: uncultured bacterium
Lineage: Bacteria
Description: partial 16S ribosomal RNA
Rfam family: Bacterial small subunit ribosomal RNA
Source: RNAcentral
AUUGAACGCUGGCGGCAGGCCUAACACAUGCAAGUCGAGCGGAUGAAGGGAGCUUGCUCCUGGAUUCAGCGGCGGACGGGUGAGUAAUGCCUAGGAAUCUGCCUGGCAGUGGGGGAUAACGUCCGGAAAGGGGCGCUAAUACCGCAUACGUCCUGAGGGAGAAAGUGGGGGAUCUUCGGACCUCACGCUAUCAGAUGAGCCUAGGCCGGAUUAGCUAGUUGGUUGGGUAAAGGCCUACCAAGGCGACGAUCCGUAACUGGUCUGAGAGGAUGAUCAGUCACACUGGAACUGAGACACGGUCCAGACUCCUACGGGAGGCAGCAGUAGGGAAUUUUGGGCAAUGGGCGAAAGCCUGAUCCAGCCAUGCCGCGUGUGUGAAGAAGGCCUUCGGAUUGUAAAGCACUUUUAGUUGGGAAGAAGGGCAGUAAGUUAAUACCUUGCUGUUUUGACGUUACCAACAGAAUAAGCACCGGCUAACUUCGUG